This is a non-coding RNA of Arabis alpina (gray rockcress), 100 nucleotides long. The record is from Rfam. Lineage: Eukaryota; Viridiplantae; Streptophyta; Magnoliopsida; Brassicales; Brassicaceae.
GAAUUAUCACAAGACAUAGUAUAACCUUUUAAUCUUUCCCAAGCUUCAUAGAGAGCUUCAUUUGGACCUUGCUUGAAGCUUGUAAUAUCGUUUCUAAUCC